AUUGAACGCUGGCGGCAUGCUUUACACAUGCAAGUCGAACGGUAACAGGUUAAGCUGACGAGUGGCGAACGGGUGAGUAAUGCAUCGGAACGUGCCCGAUCAUGGGGGAUAACGCAGCGAAAGCUGCGCUAAUACCGCAUACGAUCUGAGGAUGAAAGCGGGGGACCGUAAGGCCUCGCGCGAUCGGAGCGGCCGAUGUCAGAUUAGGUAGUUGGUGGGGUAAAGGCUCACCGAGCCAACGAUCUGUAGCUGGUCUGAGAGGACGACCAGCCACACUGGGACUGAGACACGGCCCAGACUACUACGGGAGGCAGUAGUGGGGAAUUUUGGACAAUGGGCGAAAGCCUGAUCCAGCAAUGCCGCGUGCAGGAAGAAGGCCUUCGGGUUGUAAACUGCUUUUGUACGGAGCGAAAAGGCUCUCUCUAAUACAGGGGGCUCAUGACGGUACCGUAAGAAUAAGCACCGGCUAACUACGUGCCAGCCGCCGCCGUAA
Molecule: ribosomal RNA, 493 nt
Filed under: uncultured bacterium
Lineage: Bacteria
Description: partial 16S ribosomal RNA
Rfam family: Bacterial small subunit ribosomal RNA
Source: RNAcentral